Molecule: ribosomal RNA, 481 nt
Filed under: uncultured bacterium
Lineage: Bacteria
Description: partial 16S ribosomal RNA
Rfam family: Bacterial small subunit ribosomal RNA
Source: RNAcentral
UUGCACGCUGGCGGCAUGCUUUACCCCUGCCAGUCGAACGGUAACAGCACUUCGGUGGCUGACGAGUGGCGAACGGGUGAGUAAUACAUCGGAACGUGCCUAGUAGUUGGGGAUAACUACUCGAAAGAGUAGCUAAUACCGCAUGAGAGCUAAGGAUGAAAACAGGGGACCUUCGGGCCUUGCGCUACUAGAGCGGCUGAUGGCAGAUUAGGUAGUUGGUGGGUUAAAAGCUUACCAAGCCGACGAUCUGUAGCUGGUCUGAGAGGACGACCAGCCACACUGGGACUGAGACACGGCCCAGACUCCUACGGGAGGCAGCAGUGGGGAAUUUUGGACAAUGGGCGCAAGCCUGACCCAGCAAUGCCGCGUGCAGGAUGAAGGCCUUCGGGUUGUAAACUGCUUUUGUACGGAAAGAAAAGCUCUCUUCUAAUACAGGAGCGUCAUGAAGGUACCGUAAGAAUAAGCACCGGCUAACUACGUG